ACGCGCUCGGCCUUUUCCGUCCGGGAAGUGUGGCGUGCGCGUCGUUCCUGUGCGGUCGUGUUUUGUGCACUAGAAUGCUGACUGGGACAGGGCUUUUUGGCUUAGUUACGAUGCAGGCGGUUCAGGAGUCUUGUAGCGAUAGCGCGAGGCCGGCCUCGAAAGCCUGCAGGCUGGGAAGCCUGCGCGGACGCGGGGGUGCUGUAGGUCGCGCGGCGGCCACGUGCAGCCCUGGGCGCUGAGUCCCAGGCCGCGCGCCGUGGGCCCUGGCCCCGCAGGCACAGGCUCAGCGCACCUGACGACCCCGGGAAGGUCAGUAAGCGCUGCCGGCGCCAUGUGGCCGUGGCGAACCCACGCCGCUAGUCAGUGGUGACACCGCACGCGGACGCCGCCAAUGUGACCCACGCGGAAGCGGCGCUAACUGUUCCGAUGGGUGAUGGCACAUAUAAUACGGGAAUCAGGAAAUGCAGAAUGAAAUGGAAACGGGUGACGUCUUAGCAUCUGCUGUGCACUGAACAAACGUGAUUUUAAAUUUCAGCAGAUCCAGGAUUGAGUGGCAAAUGAUGUUCUGGAAAGUAGCCGGGCAUUAUUUUCAAUAUAGGUCUGAAUGUCUUUUGGUUUUUUUUUUAAACGAUAUUUAAGAGAAUGAGUGCUUACUUGUUAAAUAAAAUGCUUGAUUCAUCUGAAUAAUCA
Hipposideros armiger (great roundleaf bat) is the source of this 690-nucleotide long non-coding RNA. RefSeq lists it as uncharacterized. The record is from RefSeq and is a predicted model, not a curated record. Lineage: Eukaryota; Metazoa; Chordata; Mammalia; Chiroptera; Hipposideridae. The transcript has 3 exons.